Molecule: ribosomal RNA, 146 nt
Filed under: uncultured Actinomycetes bacterium
Lineage: Bacteria; Bacillati; Actinomycetota; Actinomycetes
Description: uncultured actinobacterium partial 16S ribosomal RNA
Rfam family: Bacterial small subunit ribosomal RNA
Source: RNAcentral
CAUGGGCGCAGCCUGAUGCAGCAACGCCGCGUGGGGGACGAAGGCCUUCGGGGUUGUAAACCCCUUUUAGCAGGGAAGAAGCGCAAGUGACGGUACCUGCAGAAAAAGCACCGGCUAACUACGUGCCAGCAGCCGCGGUAAUACGA